AGGGCAAGUCUGGUGCCAGCAGCCGCGGUAAUUCCAGCUCCAAUAGCGUAUAUUAAAGUUGUUGCAGUUAAAAAGCUCGUAGUUGAAUUUCGGGGUUCUACCGUUGGUCGGGCUUUGUCUGUACUGGUGUGUAGAAUUUCUACCUUCUGGGGAACCAUCAUGCUAUUAAUUUAGCGUGGUGGGAAACCAGGACCUUUACCUUGAAAAAAUUAGUGUGUUCAAAGCAGGCUUAUGUCUGAAUACAUUAGCGUGGAAUAAUAGAAUAGGACGGUGGUCCUGUUUUGUUGGAUUCUGAAUCACCGUAAUGAUUAAUAGGGAUAGUUGGGGGCAUUAGUAUUCAAUUGUCAGAGGUGAAAUUCUUGGAUUUAUUGAAGACUAACUUCUGCGAAAGCAUUUGCCAAGGAUGUUUUCAUUAAUCAAGAACGAAAGUUAGGGGAUCGAAGACGAUCAGAUACCGUCGUAGUCUUAACCAUAAACUAUGCCGACUAGGGAUCGGACGAUGUUAAUUUUUCUUGACUCGUUCGGCGCCUUACGGGAACC
Molecule: ribosomal RNA, 540 nt
Filed under: uncultured Glomeromycotina
Lineage: Eukaryota; Fungi; Glomeromycota
Description: SSU rRNA
Rfam family: Eukaryotic small subunit ribosomal RNA
Source: RNAcentral